CAUGCAAGUCGAACGAGCGGGAGAGAGCUUGCUUUCUCAAGCGAGUGGCGAACGGGUGAGUAACGCGUGAGGAACCUGCCUCAAAGAGGGGGACAACAGUUGGAAACGACUGCUAAUACCGCAUAAGCCCACAGGUCGGCAUCGACCAGAGGGAAAAGGAGCAAUCCGCUUUGAGAUGGCCUCGCGUCCGAUUAGCUAGUUGGUGAGGUAAUGGCCCACCAAGGCAACGAUCGGUAGCCGGACUGAGAGGUUGAACGGCCACAUUGGGACUGAGACACGGCCCAGACUCCUACGGGAGGCAGCAGUGGGGAAUAUUGCACAAUGGGGGAAACCCUGAUGCAGCGACGCCGCGUGGAGGAAGAAGGUCUUCGGAUUGUAAACUCCUGUUGUUGAGGAAGAUAAUGACGGUACUCAACAAGGAAGUGACGGCUAACUACAUGCCAGCAGCCGCGGUAAAACGUAGGUCACAAGCGUUGUCCGGAAUUACUGGGUGUAAAGGGAGCGCAGGCGGGAAGACAAGUUGGAAGUGAAAUCUAUGGGCUCAACCCAUAAACUGCUUUCAAAACUGUUUUUCUUGAGUAGUGCAGAGGUAGGCGGAAUUCCCGGUGUAGCGGUGGAAUGCGUAGAUAUCGGGAGGAACACCAGUGGCGAAGGCGGCCUACUGGGCACCAACUGACGCUGAGGCUCGAAAGUGUGGGUAGCAAACAGGAUUAGAUACCCUGGUAGUCCACACCGUAAACGAUGAUUACUAGGUGUUGGAGGAUUGACCCCUUCAGUGCCGCAGUUAACACAAUAAGUAAUCCACCUGGGGAGUACGACCGCA
RNAcentral lists this ribosomal RNA (823 nucleotides) under uncultured bacterium. RNAcentral describes it as "bacterial SSU rRNA". It matches the Rfam family "Bacterial small subunit ribosomal RNA", at positions 54 to 890 of the family's 1533-position model. The record is from RNAcentral.